AAAUUUUGGUCAUAAGUAUUAUUAAGGGCACACGAUUCUCUAUUUAAAUUUAGCACUGUUCAUAAAAACUCAUCAAUUUACAACCUCAUUCAUCUUUAAUCCAUUCUUAGUCAACAAAAACCAUCAUCUAUAACACCAAAAAUCAAUAAAACUUGUAAAACAUGAGUCAAGAAUGUAGACAUUUUUACCAACAUCAAUCUUAAGCCCUAAGACAUUCCAAGAUGACGCUCCUACACAUUGUGUCCUCUCCUCAAAGCCUUUCUUCUUCAUCUAUCGGUCUCCUUUUUCUUUCUCAAACCCCUUUGCACUUAUCGCUCUUCAGCUCUUUGUUUUGUUUCCUUUCAUUGCCUUUAGCAGCAAGAAUAAAAAAGAACUGUAGAUUUAAAG
RNAcentral lists this long non-coding RNA (387 nucleotides) under Citrus maxima (pomelo). Its description in RNAcentral is "long non-coding RNA (CMAX_LNC004078)". The record is from RNAcentral. Lineage: Eukaryota; Viridiplantae; Streptophyta; Magnoliopsida; Sapindales; Rutaceae.